UACGUAGGGGGCUAGCGUUGUCCGGAAUCAUUGGGCGUAAAGAGCGUGUAGGCGACCCGGUAAGUCCGCUGUAAAAGUCAAAGGCUCAACCUUUGAAUGUCAGUGGAUACUGCCGGGCUAGAGUCCGGAAGAGGCGAGUGGAACUCCUGGUGUAGCAGUGAAAUGCGUAGAGAUCAUGAGGAAGACCAGUGGCGAAGGCGGGUCUCUGGACAGUUCCUGACACUGAGGCACGAAGGCCAGGGGAGCAAACGGG
RNAcentral lists this ribosomal RNA (253 nucleotides) under uncultured bacterium. Its description in RNAcentral is "partial 16S ribosomal RNA". It matches the Rfam family "Bacterial small subunit ribosomal RNA", at positions 524 to 776 of the family's 1533-position model. The record is from RNAcentral.